AAGUCGUAACAAGGUCUCCGUUGGUGAACCAGCGGAGGGAUCAUUAUAGAGUUUUCUAAACUCCCAACCCAUGUGAACUUACCAUUGUUGCCUCGGCAGAAGCUGCUCGGUACACCUUACCUUGGAACGGCCUACCCUGUAGCGCCUUACCCUGGAACGGCUUACCCUGUAACGGCUGCCGGUGGACUACCAAACUCUUGUUAUUUUAUUGUAAUCUGAGCGUCUUAUUUUAAUAAGUCAAAACUUUCAACAACGGAUCUCUUGGUUCUG
RNAcentral lists this unclassified non-coding RNA (270 nucleotides) under Pestalotiopsis rosea. RNAcentral's name for it is "partial internal transcribed spacer region". The stretch from base 1 to 46 matches the Rfam family "Eukaryotic small subunit ribosomal RNA", at positions 1786 to 1831 of the family's 1831-position model. Lineage: Eukaryota; Fungi; Ascomycota; Sordariomycetes; Amphisphaeriales; Sporocadaceae. The record is from RNAcentral. RNAcentral also lists the same sequence under 1 other name.